RNAcentral lists this ribosomal RNA (497 nucleotides) under uncultured bacterium. RNAcentral's name for it is "partial 16S ribosomal RNA". It matches the Rfam family "Bacterial small subunit ribosomal RNA", at positions 28 to 507 of the family's 1533-position model. The record is from RNAcentral.
GAUGAACGCUGGCGGCGUGCCUAAUACAUGCAAGUCGAGCGAACGGACGAGAAGCUUGCUUCUCUGAUGUUAGCGGCGGACGGGUGAGUAACACGUGGAUAACCUACCUAUAAGACUGGGAUAACUUCGGGAAACCGGAGCUAAUACCGGAUGAUAUUUUGAACCGCAUGGUUCAAAAGUGAAAGACGGUUUUGCUGUCACUUAUAGAUGGAUCCGCGCUGCAUUAGCUAGUUGGUAAGGUAACGGCUUACCAAGGCAACGAUGCAUAGCCGACCUGAGAGGGUGAUCGGCCACACUGGAACUGAGACACGGUCCAGACUCCUACGGGAGGCAGCAGUAGGGAAUCUUCCGCAAUGGGCGAAAGCCUGACGGAGCAACGCCGCGUGAGUGAUGAAGGUCUUCGGAUCGUAAAACUCUGUUAUUAGGGAAGAACAAAUGUGUAAGUAACUGUGCACGUCUUGACGGUACCUAAUCAGAAAGCCACGGCUAACUACGUG